RNAcentral lists this ribosomal RNA (228 nucleotides) under uncultured Synechococcus sp. RNAcentral's name for it is "partial 23S ribosomal RNA". It matches the Rfam family "Bacterial large subunit ribosomal RNA", at positions 1 to 241 of the family's 2925-position model. Lineage: Bacteria; Bacillati; Cyanobacteriota; Cyanophyceae; Synechococcales; Synechococcaceae. The record is from RNAcentral.
GGUCAAGCUACAAAGGGCUCACGGCGGAUACCUUGGCACACAGAGGCGAUGAAGGACGUGGUUACCUGCGAUAAGUCUCGGGGAGCUGGAAGCACGCUUUGAUCCGGGAAUUUCCGAAUGGGGCAACCCUUUUAUACGGCCAGCUGAAUACAUAGGCUGGCGCGAGCCAACCCAGCGAACUGAAACAUCUUAGUAGCUGGAGGGAAGGAAAGUAAAAACGACUCCCUA